This 436-nucleotide ribosomal RNA is filed under the name Gnomulus sp. 1 PS-2009. RNAcentral's name for it is "partial 16S ribosomal RNA". It matches the Rfam family "Bacterial large subunit ribosomal RNA", at positions 1829 to 2600 of the family's 2925-position model. Lineage: Eukaryota; Metazoa; Arthropoda; Arachnida; Opiliones; Sandokanidae. The record is from RNAcentral.
GGUUAUUAGAUUAAAUUAAUAAUUUUACCUGCUCAAUGCUUAUAGUAAAUGGCUGCAGUAUUUUGACUGUACUAAGGUAGCAUAAUCAAUAGCUUUUUAAUUGAAGGCUGGUAUGAAAGGUUAAAACUAUAAAGAUGGUUUUAUUAAUUGAUUUUUAAUUUAAGUUAGGAGUAAAAAUGCUUCUAUAAAACUUUGGGACGAGAAGACCCUAGAAGCUUUUAUGCAGAUGCAUUUUGGUUGGGGUGACUAAUGAAGAUAAAAAUCUUUAGUUUAUGUUAUAUAUAUAUAUAUAUAUUAAGUUACUCUAGGGAUAACAGCGUUAUUUAAUUGAUGAGUUCUUAUUUAUAAUUAAGAUUGCGACCUCGAUGUUGAAUUAAAAUAAAAGUAUGGUGAAGGAGCUUUAUGUUUUAGUCUGUUCGACUAUUAAAUUUUUACA